UGCGGAACACGUACAGAACCUUCCUUUGAGCGGGGAAUAGCCCAGAGAAAUUUGGAUUAAUACCCAUAGUAUAAUGAAGUGGCAUCACUUUAUUAUUAAAGAUUUAUCACUCGAAGAUGGCUGUGCGGCUGAUUAGGUAGUUGGCGGGGUAAAGGCCCACCAAGCCUGCGAUCAGUAACUGGUGUGAGAGCACGACCAGUCACACGGGCACUGAGACACGGGCCCGACUCCUACGGGAGGCAGCAGUAAGGAAUAUUGGUCAAUGGAGGCAACUCUGAACCAGCCAUGCCGCGUGGAGGAUGAAGGUCCUCUGGAUUGUAAACUUCUUUUAUAUGGGAACGAAAAAAGGUCUUUUCUAAGUCGUCUGACGGUACCAUAUGAAUAAGCACCGGCUAACUCCGUG
This 403-nucleotide ribosomal RNA is filed under the name uncultured bacterium. RNAcentral describes it as "bacterial SSU rRNA". It matches the Rfam family "Bacterial small subunit ribosomal RNA", at positions 107 to 507 of the family's 1533-position model. The record is from RNAcentral.